Long non-coding RNA from Sorghum bicolor (sorghum), 493 nucleotides. RefSeq lists it as uncharacterized. The record is from RefSeq and is a predicted model, not a curated record. The transcript is spliced from 2 exons. NCBI's taxonomy places the organism in Eukaryota, Viridiplantae, Streptophyta, Magnoliopsida, Poales, Poaceae.
CUUGGCCUAGACCGAUAACACAGUACUAGUGAUCCAACACAACUUUCAUAAGCUGAUCUAGAGAUGGCAGCCACAAAGCAGACGAUCUGCUGCAUGCUUCUUACACUGGUGCUUGCAUCAAAUUUCGUCCAAGAUUGCGAGGCUAAUCCUUCCAGUCUGCUUUGCUGGACCCUGUUAGGUAAGAUGAUAUCUUGCUCUGUCUGGUCCAAGCAGGACAUAGCACAUUGCAAGAAUGAGUGCAAGCAGAAGAGCUACGACGAUGGGAUGUGCUAUGUCACACCCGGUAAAGUCAAGCUUGUCUGUCUAUGUCACAUACCCAACUGCAAGUGAUGAUGCUAAAACAAUAGCAACGCUGAAACCGAGCUAAUAAAUUUGUACUGUAUAUAUAAGAAUGGGGGAUGACCGUCUGGCAAUGAACUUCCUGGUUUUUCCCCCUUUGUUAUUCUGGUCCCAGGCAUCUGCUCCCGCAACAAGAUUUUCAGUUUUUUGCUUC